GCCGAUAUAACCCUAAUUUGGUAAGGGAACAGUUUGCUAAACUGCCAGUAGUCGCUUAUGCGGCGUAUAGGUUCAAGUCCUAUUGUCGGCG
Molecule: transfer RNA, 91 nt
Filed under: Caudoviricetes sp.
Lineage: Duplodnaviria; Heunggongvirae; Uroviricota; Caudoviricetes
Description: tRNA-Ser
Rfam family: tRNA
About the family: Transfer RNA (tRNA) molecules are approximately 80 nucleotides in length.
Source: RNAcentral